RNAcentral lists this ribosomal RNA (239 nucleotides) under uncultured Lactobacillus sp. Its description in RNAcentral is "partial 16S ribosomal RNA". It matches the Rfam family "Bacterial small subunit ribosomal RNA", at positions 122 to 354 of the family's 1533-position model. Lineage: Bacteria; Bacillati; Bacillota; Bacilli; Lactobacillales; Lactobacillaceae. The record is from RNAcentral.
UAACCUGCCCAAGAGAUCGGGAUAACACCUGGAAACAGAUGCUAAUACCGGAUAACAACAGAUGAUGCCUAUCAACUGUUUAAAAGAUGGUUCUGCUAUCACUCUUGGAUGGACCUGCGGUGCAUUAGCUAGUUGGUAGGGUAACGGCCUACCAAGGCGAUGAUGCAUAGCCGAGUUGAGAGACUGAUCGGCCACAUUGGGACUGAGACACGGCCCAAACUCCUAGGGAGGCAGCAGGA